GGUUUAACCAUACUAAAGAGUCGUUCGAGACUAGGACGUUGAUAGGUUGGGUGUGGAAGAGUGGUAACACUUGAAGCUAACCAAUGCUAAUUGCUCGUGAGGCUUGACUCU
This 111-nucleotide ribosomal RNA is filed under the name Kingella kingae PYKK081. RNAcentral describes it as "partial 23S ribosomal RNA". It matches the Rfam family "Bacterial large subunit ribosomal RNA", at positions 2815 to 2925 of the family's 2925-position model. The record is from RNAcentral. Lineage: Bacteria; Pseudomonadati; Pseudomonadota; Betaproteobacteria; Neisseriales; Neisseriaceae.